RNAcentral lists this long non-coding RNA (3869 nucleotides) under Brassica rapa (field mustard). RNAcentral's name for it is "long non-coding RNA (BRAP_LNC005716)". Lineage: Eukaryota; Viridiplantae; Streptophyta; Magnoliopsida; Brassicales; Brassicaceae. The record is from RNAcentral.
CAUCCUAUAACUCUAGGACCUACACAGCUCAAGCGGACCAACCCUCCCCUUUCUUGCUGCAUCCCUAUGAGGUCGCCUGCCCUGGUACACCCGGCAUCCGGUUCCCUUGGAUGUAGUCCAUACCCCUUGCAGUGUAUUACGACCCCUUCCCGCCAAGACUCGGCGUGACUCAAUCUUACCGGCGCCUCUAUUCUUACUUGCCGUUUUUGAACGCUACGGCCGCCGCGUUUUCCCAUACUCCCCACCAGUCCCUCGGCGGUUCGUAUUCCAUUUCUAUCCAUCUUCCAUACUCCCCACCAGUCCCUCGGCGGUUCGUAUCCAUUUCAUAACUUUUCCUUUUUCUUAUCAUUUCCUUUUUCCUUAAACCCUUAGACUCUUUCUUACUUUUUUUUUUUAGACGCCACCCGUUCUCGGUGUCACACUCAAUCCAUUCAGCAAUCAUUCAUAGGUAUCCUAUCAUUCAUCUAACCAGACCGGUUAACAGUUCUCUUAUUAUCCUACGUUCAUUUCUUUCUAACCAUCCUAGCUCUCAAUCACAACCACGGAUCUUCAAUCAAUCAAACAAUCAAUCAGUUUAUUUAGAAUCUUAAAUCAGUACGAGAGUUCUAAUGCAACAUGGUCUAUCAACCUAACAACAACCAGGAUCUACUCAAUCCUAGAUCCACAUUCAACAAUAUAAAAGAACAUGAAAGAGAUCUGGGUAGAACACCUCACCUUAGCCUAGAUCCGGAUCUGGAUCUAAAAAUAAGAGGUGUGAGAAACGGGAUCUGAGAUCUACAACACCACGCGGCCACCACCACCAUUCGCGGCUGCUCACGGCGAGGAGAGAGAGAGAGAGAAGAGAGAUGCGGUGAGGAGAGAGAAAAGAAGGAGAGGCAGCGCGGGGAGAGAGAGAGAGAGAUCUUCGACGGCUAGGGCUUCCUGUCUCCGGGAUUUUUCUGCAGAGCUUCGCUCUAGAAUUUCUGAUGAGAGACAAGGGAGGUGGAGGCUUGUAUUUAUAGGGAAAGGCAAGGGAACCCUAGGGUUUUAAUCCUAAUGGGCUGCAGAACGGGCCUUCCCUUUUAAAACACAAAAACUUUUUGGGUUUGGGUUUUGGGGUGUUACAAUUCUCCCCCUGUUAAUCAGAAUUCGCCCCGAAUUCCAAUCUUCCGGCUUUGAACACUAACAUUCCAAAACCCGAGGUGAGUUCAAACACAUUCAAGGGAGGCACACAAUAUUUUCUUAAGGAUUUUCUUUCGAAAUCUCCCAGAUAAAUAAGGAAUAACAUAAUUCCUACUCAUACUGGAUGUUUCCGAAAUCUUAUUUAGUCUCUACAAAGUGGAGAAGUGCGUUUCUGCCUCGAAUCAUAACCAAACACUCGGACACCUCUAGCUGGCGGUUCCAGAUAAUCCUCCUAAUUUUAACCUUCCGAUGGAUCCUCUUUCGGUUCAGCGCUUGUGACAUAAAUAACAUGUUUAACAACCACGCCUUUGCUGCCAUCGCCUUCCCUGUCAUCCUCACCACUAAGGCAAAUUCCAUAGAUUCCAUGGCUCCAUUCAGCUCUCCUCGAAUGUUCCUACGGAGUCUCGCCUUAUAACCCGGCACUACCUCUCCGCAGGCUUCGACUUGCAUUUCUCGGUCAUGUCUAAGAACUCCUUAGUGUACUCUUGGACCAGGCGAGGCCUAUGCAUUAUCUGAACAAGGAUCUCACACUUGCACGGCUCGGUACAUUCUCCCGAGGUUCUUUCAUCCAUAAUCGAUCUCUUCCGCAGAUCCUCUUCCACUUCCAUUUCUUCCUUAGAGCUUGAGAUGGCGACGACCCAACGGUAAGUGCCCUUUCUACCUCCACUGCCUGACCGGCUAUCUAGUUCAUCAGAACGCAUUCCCAUGGUUCUAACACACCAAGCAACUUGCCCUGAAUUUCCUCGCGGAGCUCUGCCUUAAUCCCCUGGCACCAACCCUCCGCUGACUUUGGCUUGCAUCUUUUAGUUGUCUCCAAGAAUUCCUCGGUGUACUCCCGAACUGAGUGCGUUCCUUGAUUAGCAUGCAUCAGUGUCCCACACCGACAUACCCCAGUUACGCUCCUUAGGCGGUCUGCAUCAAUACUAGGAAUCUUCCUCGGACGUCCACGUUUCCUCGUUGGCACACUGUCUUCCAUCCUAAACGGUCCAAGACCUUCCCGAUCAAUCCUGACUUCCUUGGGUGCCCAUAGCCCAUCUUGGGCAGCGUCAUUUCGACUUCAGGCGUGAACUGGAAGAUCACAUGGCCUUGGUACAUUCGCCUACACUCUUGGAUCUCUGGAACUGGGGCAUCAGCACUUGACGCCUCACGGAUGUCUCCCGAUGUGGACGUUCGGCUGCUCCACGAACUUCAUUCCCUCCUCGUCCUUGUUAGCAUCAACAUUUUUGCUACAUGGUGAUACUCCAUCAUCCUUUUUACUCCAAGACGAUCUUUUUACCCCACAAUGAUCCUUAUUACCAUGAACCUUUUUACCCUAUGAAGAUCCCAUAUCCUUAUUAGCAUUUCGCAUUUGCUCCAAAAUGACCCUCCAUCAUCUUUUUUUACCCCAAGAUGAUCCUUAGCUUAAUUAUCACAAUCUGAAAUCGGUUCCCCUUCUUCUGCCCAUCCGAUCGUCCCUUGGCCGCCCCGGUUUUGCUCCUUCCUCUUAGGCGGGCCCACUCCAAGGUGGUAGGGCCCGCGCCCAUGCUCUUUUUUUUUUUUUUAUAUUGGGAACAAGCUUCACUUUGAUAUCUGAAUGACAUUAUGCUAUUUCUUUGCCGGGAUAUCUCCUCCGUGAAGCUGCGCUUGCCUCCGCCCUGCGUCCGACUCUCCUUCCCCGGCCUUCCCGGCCCGGUGUGGGGUAGUGUCGCCGACAAAACGUUUCCCUCCAGCUCGUAUGUCCGACUUUCCAUUCCCCCUUAACUUGUCGUGCUAGGCAAUUAAUCCCUCUGUAUACUUGCCUUACCACUCCUUGUUACCCAUUCCUGAACCUCUGAAACUCCACUACACCGCGGUACGAGGACUUUUUGUUGAUCUGAUCUUGGCCGGAGACUCUGAGUUGUUCGUAUACUCCUUCAGCAUUAGCUAUGACGGUCUAUCAGAACCAUAAGGGAAAUGGGCAAUAUCGGAAACGUUGAUCCCUUAAGUUAGUAUUAAGGGACCUUAACCUGGCUCUGAUACCAAUUGAAACACCCGUCCCUCCCCAUUUCCAACCGGGGUUCCAGGGCGCGGGGUUUAGGACACACAUGUCUACUUUUCCCGACAUCUCCGUGUGUCCCGUUUCUGGUCCCAUAAGUUUCAGGUGCGUUUCCUUUCUUACCGUCGACAUUUCCACUUAUAGUUCUGCAAAAAAGAGAGGGAAAAGGAGGGUGAGUACGAAUACUCAGUGAAGCGAUUCUAGACCAGUCUCCCCCAUGAGCUUUUAUACCGCUCAAUGCGAAACGAGAACCGACUAGUCACUACACCCAAUUCCUAACUAACUAUUAAAGAUCCGUUUCACAAAACAAGCAGUGCAAUGAACUCAGUCAUCGCUCAAUUCACACAUUUCGGUUUAUUAAUUAAGAUUCCAUUCAUCCUAUAACUCUAGGACCUACACAGCUCAAGCGGACCAACCCUCCCCUUUCUUGCUGCAUCCCUAUGAGGUCGCCUGCCCUGGUACACCCGGCAUCCGGUUCCCUUGGAUGUAGUCCAUACCCCUUGCAGUGUAUUACGACCCCUUCCCGCCAAGACUCGGCGUGACUCAAUCUUACCGGCGCCUCUAUUCUUACUUGCCGUUUUUGAACGCUACGGCCGCCGCGUUUUCCCAUACUCCCCACCAGUCCCUCGGCGGUUCGUAUUCCAUUUCUAUCCAUCUUCCAUACUCCCCACCAGUCCCUCGGCGGUUCGUAUCC